Molecule: long non-coding RNA, 5021 nt
Organism: Alnus glutinosa
Lineage: Eukaryota; Viridiplantae; Streptophyta; Magnoliopsida; Fagales; Betulaceae
Exons: 6
Source: RefSeq, a predicted model, not a curated record
GGAAAGGAACCAGAGCUAAAAGAUAGAACGGGAAUGCAGUUAGAUGAGAAUCUAGUCGCGGCUCAAUUUGCCACAUAAUGGGCACAGAACUUUGCACUUCGGUUGACUUGACUAACUGACCAACUAGUUGUGAGUAUAAUGAUGGAUAGAAUAUGGGAAACAGUAGACGAUAUUCUCCAGUCUUGCGUAAUUUCUGGAUUAGUAAGAGCUAGUGUAACUAUAAGUGAGUCUCAUUCCAAGAUAACUUAAGACAGGUUUAAAGAGAGCCAAAUGAACCGCCAAUAAGGCUGCAAUAGCUUCACUAUAAACAGCAGUACAUGGCAGACUGAUAAUAGUAGAGCAUCGAAUAAUAGAACCUGUGGAAUCCCGACAAACCGCAGCUUGAGCCGAGAAAGAUUGCCGAAUAGUAGUAUCAUAAUUGAUCUUGUAGAAUGGUGGACUAGGCUUUUUCCAAACAGCUUGAUGGGGAACUAGCUUAUUGAUCCAAGCCGAAUGGUGGUUCUUAACAAUCCUGUUAAUAGUAGAAGAUAUGACUAAAGCAUUUGGAACCAGCUCCUCAUGUAGUGCUUUAUUCCUGGCAUACCAAAUUUGAUCACAUGCGACAGUAGCAAAAAUUUGAAAAAGAUGUGAAUCCGAUAUGGGGAUCCCAAUUGUCUCCAGAUGCAGAAUAAUAGACAAGUAAUCUGGCAUAGAGUUAAUAUGUAAAGCAAGGCUAUCCAUAGGCCAAAAUGAAUUUUGCCAGACUACUCGAGCUAUGGGGCAAGAGAAAAAUAAAUGUAACAGAGAGUCUGUCAAGAAGGAACAAAGAGAACAAGAUGUGUCCUUUGGGGAAGAGGGGUUGGAAUAGGAAAUACGGGUCUUUGUGGGGAUAAUAUUUCAAACCAUUUUUCAGAGGAACAAACGCAAUCUAUGAUUCGGAUUGAGUUUCCAAAGCGCUUUCCAAGUAGUUGUUGGUAAAGGAGAGAUAAUUGGAGAACAAGCUGAGGUGAGAAGGUGAUCAGCAGAUUUUGUUGAAAAAAAACCAGAAGAAGAAGGGGUCCAAAGAAGAUAAUUAUUGGUAUUUCUAAUACUUAUUUUCUGAAUUUCGAAGACAGUAACUAGAUGGAACAGAAAAGAUAGAAUAUUCAUGUUCCAAGUACUAGUUGAAGGGCAAAUGAGAUCUGCAACUAACAAAGGGUAGAGAUUAGUGAAAGUAGGGACACAGGGCAUAGGCUUGAAAUUAGAUAUAGUGGGAAUUCAAGGAGAAGACCAAACUGAUAACUGGCUGGAAAUAUAUGGAAUAUAACACAUGCCUGAGGCUAAGAGAGGCACAAUAGCUUUAAUACCAUUCCAUAUAAAAGAUCCAGAGCUCAGAGGAGAAGAUCGGAGAUUAUCAUACUUGAUAUAUUUCGUUUUGAAGAGAGAAACCCAAAGACUGUCAUGAUCUGAAAGAAUCUUCCAUCGCUGCUUAGUAAUGAGAGAUAAAUUAAUAUCCUUCAUAAGUUGAAACCCCAAUCCACCCUUAUCCUUUGGCAUGCAUAAAGAGCUCCAGGAUUUAAGAAAUAAGUUACGAGAUUUAUCCUUAGAAAAACCCCACCAUAAAUUUUUGAAGGCUAUGUUCAAUUGUUGAUGAUAUGAAAGCAAGAAAGAACUCAUUGCAUAGGAUGGAAUAGCGGAAGAAACAACCUUUACCAGAACUGUUUUGCCUGCCUGAGAUAAAGUUUUGGAUCUCCAACCUUCAAUUUUUCCCUGGACUUUAUCUAGAACAUCAAGAAAGGAUGCAUGCUUUGAUAUACUAAACAACAUAAGGAGCCCCAAGUGUUUGGCAGAAGCUGGAGUGGCCACAUAUGGAAGAAUAACCUGGAUUUCAGAGAUAGUGGAAGCACCUGUGUUCUUGUUAAAAAUAAUGGUAGAUUUAGAAAUAUUUACUGACUGUCCAGACUAGGAGCUAUAUUUAUCCAUAUAGGUUUUAAUAAUAGUAGCUUCAUUGGAAGUAGCUGAAGUAAAGAUAACCAAAUCAUCCGCAAAAAAUAGGUGAUUUAAAGGAGCGCAGGAACGAAAUAUCUUAUAGCCACGAAGGAGUGUUAAUUGUUUGUUUUCAAAACAAGUAGCAAAUAACUUCCAUUGGUGUUGAAAAUUGCAUUUCAAUGCAAUGAAUAGUUGGUGUAAUGCUAUACGUGCAUCAAGAGUCUGUCUAAUGUCCGGCUCUUGACCAAUGUGGCAUGCUUUUUGUUUUUUUAUUAAAAAACAAAAAACAAAUCGUUGAAAACGCGGGUGGGUCGACAUUUUCAGAUUCACUUUACAAAAUUUCCCCCCAUUUCCUAAAUCCCCCCUCUCCACCGACUGCUACCCAACAACCGGCAACCACUGAACUCGGACCCAGCAGACCGAGCGCCACCCACGAGCAACGCAGAUCUCCGACCAGGUCCGAUAAGGAGCGCCAGAGCUGGCCACUGCAGAUCUCCGACUCUAUAGUCAGUCUCCCCCCCCCCCCCCCCUCUCUCUCUCUCUCUUUCUCUCUCUCUCUCACAUUGCAGGCCCAAAUCUAGGAGCUCGUCGUUGUCUCUCUACAAAUCAUGCGCAAGCAGCCUAACUGCAGGGAAAAAAAAAUUCCAGGUAAACUCUUUCUCCCCCUUUCCUCUCUCUUGAGUUCUGACACGUGCACUUCACUUCCUUUGAUGUUGGUAGAUGCUGGGUUGAUGUGUUGGGCUGGGUUAGCCUUUGGAUUAUCAAUUCAGAAUUUUAGUCUAAGAAAGUCUGCUUUUUUUGUUGGAUACUCUAAUGCUGUAUAUUUCCCUGUAUUGUUGGUUUAUUUAGUUUGAAACUAGAAUCUCAGUUCCAUUAUUCUCAAUCUAGUUGGGUUUGAAACUCAGAUCUGGAUUUGGGGGGUCUGAAUCCCUAAUCCCUUGAACACCUUAUUUAGGUUUUUUGCUUUAUUUUCUUGUCAAGCUUUAUGAAAAUUGGGGUAUUCAUUUGUGGUUUAACUUUGAAUAGUUGUGAUUGAUGUAUGUAAUUAUUAGAAAAUGGAGAGUGUGGGCCGAAUUGGGGGUGAUGGUUGUUGAGCAUUUUUUUUUUGGUUGAAAUUUCCGUGUUUGUGAUGGCCGAAAGAUAAUGGUUUUUUCUAUUGAAACUUCUCAAGCGCAUUAAUCAUGGUAUGUUAAUAACCCAUUGUUGUAUUCUUUGUUGUUUGCAUUUGCUGAAUUAUAUCUUUAAAAACAAUGUAAGUCUUAAAAAAUUGUGGGAACCCAAUUCUAUGGAGAAUUUGAUUUCUCUUUUGUAUUGGUUGUAACCUUGGUCAAUUCAAUCGAUUAGCAUGAAUGUAUGGACUAAAAAAUAGUGGCCUUUUGCAUGUCUUGUGGAAUAAGAUUUCAGCAAUGGUUUAUUUCUGUGAUAGCAUCAUUUGGUGAGUAGCAAUUCAUGAGCCUAUAUGUUCUCUUUAUCAAACUUUUCAAUUUUAUAUUUUGCUCCCAGCUCAGCUUUUGAUCACUCAUCCGAUUGUUUGUUUUGAUGGUUAAAGGCUUAUGAAGACCGCGGUAAUUCAAUUUUUGAACAGAUUUAUCUAUGUUACCCUGUCUCCUUCAUUGAAGAGGGUUUGACAGUAGCCAUUGCUGAAUUUCAUUUACUUUACUAUGAGCAAUUCUAUUGGUUAAAUUGGAAAUGUCAGAAUCAUCUCUGUUAGACUCUAACUAAUUAUCCCAAUACUCUGAUUAUAAGAAUCUCUUGAAAUUGGUUGUUAGAUUUGUAAGCUUACCAAUUUGCAUUAUUGACUAAGUUGAUAUUUAUAAUAACUCAUGACAUAGAGGAAAAUACUGGUUUAUACACAUAAUUAGUUUUCAUAUUGUAUACAUGAGUUGGUCUAGUAUUUACUCUUUAGUUAGGCUCUUGAUUUUUUAUUGAUUUCCUAUUCCAAAUUUAUUAUUUCUCUGAAUCUUUGCAGGCACAUUUGGAAAAGGGUGAUAAAAGUACGUUUACUGCUAGACCAAUUCUGUGACAAUAUCCUCUGUUUAUAUGUUUAUUUUCUCUUAAUUCUUGAUAGUUCUUAAAGCUGAAGUAUUACUUAUGAGGCUUCGUUUUGCUUCCAGUUAUUAUGCCUCCCUCAGCUCUUGAUCGCCUUGGUUUGCUUUUAGCGAGCCCUAGAAUUUGUUGCUGAUGAGGGACUGAUAUAUUUACCAUGCUGGAUGAUUAAAAACGUGCUCCUACAAGAGGGAGACGUAGUACAAGUGAAGAAUGCCAGCCUUGCAAAGGAACAUAUAUGAUGCUGCAGCCCCACACCAAGGACUUCUUAGAUAUCUCCAACCCCAAAGCUAUGUUGGAAAGAUCAGCCCAUUCACUGGUUCUGGGAGACGUUUGGAUGGAAAACCCUUGACACAAUCAGCUGCAUCAGCUUCUUCUCCCAUGCUUAAGCACGACCAACCAGAGGGUCAAAAUGGAUCCAAUUAUUCUAAGCCAACAAAUCCUGCCUCACAUCAACUCUCUGGAAGGCUUGUGUUUGGUUCAAAUGCAAACAAACCUGGAAAGGAAGCACCAAAAAACAGCAAUCAAGAGCUGCCGCAGAAGAUGGAAGAGCCAAAGUUUCAAGAAUUCACUGGGAAAAAGUAUUCACUGGAAGGAUAAUCAUAGUUAAGCUUUUCUCCACCCGUCCCUUUAAUAGAUAUGAGAUAGAAUCAAGUCAUUUUGGCAAAGGAAGAUUCAUACAGUGAUCAUAUUAUUAUUGGAAUACAUGAAACGAUAUUCUCUUAUGAUAUCAUUCUUGUGAGCAACUGAAUGAGUGAUGUAUCAAUGAUGUAGCAACUGAGAAGCAUUCAGAGAAAAUAGUGACUAACCGUUAGGCAAUUUCAAGAUUUAUUUUUCUUGGAGUAGGUAAAUCUAAAGCCUAUAACAAAGUUGUAGGUGCCAACCCUUUUUCAGAUGAAGCAUUCUAAUUGUUUCUGGACUCGUCGCUUUUCUCUUAUUUUUAACGUUUUCUUGUAAGCUUGGAAACAUUAUGCUUGUGAACUUGGUUCUUGUCUGUUUGUAAUGAAUUCCAAUGGAUUUUUGUCUUA